GCCUUUAUAGUUUAAAGGUAGAACGGAAUACUGUUAAUAUUCUCGUAGAUGUUCAAUUCAUCUUAAAGGCU
This 71-nucleotide transfer RNA is filed under the name Erysiphe pisi. RNAcentral describes it as "tRNA-Asn". It matches the Rfam family "tRNA". From Rfam's summary of the family: Transfer RNA (tRNA) molecules are approximately 80 nucleotides in length. Their secondary structure includes four short double-helical elements and three loops (D, anti-codon, and T loops). Lineage: Eukaryota; Fungi; Ascomycota; Leotiomycetes; Helotiales; Erysiphaceae. The record is from RNAcentral. RNAcentral also lists the same sequence under 5 other names.